Molecule: unclassified non-coding RNA, 520 nt
Filed under: uncultured Entrophospora
Lineage: Eukaryota; Fungi; Glomeromycota; Glomeromycetes; Entrophosporales; Entrophosporaceae
Description: SSU rRNA
Rfam family: Eukaryotic small subunit ribosomal RNA
Source: RNAcentral
AGCAGCCGCGGUAAUUCCAGCUCCAAUAGCGUAUAUUAAAGUUGUUGCAGUUAAAAAGCUCGUAGUUGAAUUUCGGGAUUGGCGCAUCGGUCGUGCCUCACGGGGUAUGAACUGGUGCAGUCAAUUUCUCACCUUCUGGAGAACCGCGAUGUCCUUAAUUGGAUGCCGCGGGGAACCAGGACCUUUACUUUGAAAAAAUUAGAGUGUUUAAAGCAGGCAUUUUUGCUUGAAUACAUUAGCAUGGAAUAAUAAAAUAGGACGGCAUGGUUCUAUUUUGUUGGUUUCUAGGACCACCGUAAUGAUUAAUAGGGAUAGUUGGGGGCAUUAGUAUUCAAUUGUCAGAGGUGAAAUUCUUGGAUUUAUUGAAGACUAACUACUGCGAAAGCAUUUGCCAAGGAUGUUUUCAUUAAUCAAGAACGAAAGUUAGGGGAUCGAAGACGAUCAGAUACCGUCGUAGUCUUAACCAUAAACUAUGCCGACUAGGAAUCAGACGAUGUUAAUUUUUUAAUGACUCGUUUAG